AGGAUGAACGCUGGCGGUCCGCUUAACACAUGCAAGUCGAACGGAGUAGCAAUACUUAGUGGCGGACGGGUGAGUAACGCGUGAGAAUCUACCUUCAGGACGGAGACAACAGUUGGAAACGACUGCUAACCCCCGAUGUACCGAAAGGGCAAAUAUUUAUAGCCUGAAGAAGAGCUCGCGUCCGAUUAGCUAGUUGGAGAGGUAAAAGCUCACCAAGGCGACGAUCGGUAGCUGGUCUGAGGGGACGAUCAGCCACACUGGGACUGAGACACGGCCCAGACUCCUACGGGAGGCAGCAGUGGGGAAUUUUCCGCAAUGGGCGAAAGCCUGACGGAGCAAGACCGCGUGGGGGAAGAAGGCUCUUGGGUUGUAAACCCCUUUUCUCUGGGAAGAACGCAAUGACGGUACCAGAGGAAUCAGCAUCGGCUAACUCCGCGCUAGUAGCCGC
RNAcentral lists this ribosomal RNA (448 nucleotides) under uncultured bacterium. RNAcentral describes it as "SSU rRNA". It matches the Rfam family "Bacterial small subunit ribosomal RNA", at positions 26 to 518 of the family's 1533-position model. The record is from RNAcentral.